ACUGAUGCCAGACAGUUUGUACUCACUCACUCAGUUGUUAGCUUACGUAAAUUGUCAUAUAAUAGAUAUAGAUUUUGACAAAAUAUACCGAAGACUUCCUGUAACACAUAGGAACACAUAAGUGAUCUUAUUAGCUGUGUUGUGUACUACUAUCUUCCUAGCUGUCACCACGGAUUUGGAUCAGUUCAUUUUUAUGAAUGAAAGCUAGAUGAUACCAGGAACAACCACCGUCCGUGACUGAUGUCAGCGACAAACUACCAAACCCCAAGCCUUCAACCAGUUGAGAUUAAGACCAAAUAUUUGGACUAUAUGAGUACUAGUAGUGAUACAAGCAGUAUUGAGUCUACAGAUAGGAUGUCCACUGAAGUAAUGUACAACCUUGACUCACCAGGAGAUAUACACUGUAACUGUCCCAGGAUUGAGUCCAAAAAGACUAUCCUCUAUAAACUUCUGACAACGGGCUCUGUGUGUCCAUCACCUUCAUGUUAUUUGAAAGAACAUUUUAGAUCGGCUGCGUCAAUAUCUAACAGCUCACAUCAUCAUGAAAACAGCAAACUUAAGGUGCUCUUACAAGAAGUGCGGAAUGAAGCAUCGUAACUAUCAUCUUAGUACAUAAUAGCAGUGUUUACAAGAAUCCCCAUCUUUGAACAACCCAUACAGAGUGGAAGAAUAUCAAAGUGAAACGCAACUACGUCUCAAUGAGUACGUCACAGCGAUGUAUCCCAAUGACCCUCUGCGAUUUGCAAGAAUCUUGUUGUGUCUGCCAACCCUAAGGAACAUCAAGGCUCAAGUUCUGAUCGAACUGUUCUUUCGUCCGUUGAUCGGCGAAGCCUGCAUGGAUGAGGUCCUGGAGACCAUGUUACAGCAGUAGUGUGACCAGCCUUUCUGUACACUUUGUAUAAUUAACUUAUUUAUGGACGUCACAGCCAUUAGUAGUCGAUCAAUUUUAUCGAAACGAGACAAAAAAAUGCAAAUUCCAUGUGAAAACAAUACUGAAAUGUAUCUUUUAGCUACAGUGUAUGUAAAUACAAUGCUAUUGACAGCUGACAGGCAGCUACAAACUAUUUCAGUUUUCUACUAAAACUGUAGUGUCUCAGAGUACAUAAUGCGUUUUGAUUCAACCAAUCAGAGAUAGUGUUUUACAAUGAUGUUCUCCCCAGCAGCUGUUUAAGAUAAAGUUAUUUAGUGGGUUUAUAUGAUGUGUAUUUUGCGUAAUUAUCCCGACUGCUCAUUCAUUUACCACCAGAUUUUUCGAGCAUCAUCGAAAGUUUGUUUUUCGUCUGUGAAGACAUUUUAGCUCAAUUCAAAAUUGAUGCAAAAUGUGUAAAGAUUUUUGCUCAAAAAUUUGGCAUUUUGUUGACUAAAAUGGGUGAGCAUAUCUGCUGGAUAUUGAAAGCGGAAUGAUUGCCAGUUACUCUAUCUUUAGUUUUUUAAGUUUUAUUCAAACUUAUUUGUAAAAUAAAACAAAUAAAUAAUAUAGAAAGGGCAAAGCAGCCAUUCCAGCUUUCAUUUUGUUGUCAGUGACAUUAGAAACCCUUUCAGAAGCAACACAAUUUAAAUAAAUUAUUGAAGAAAGAAACAACUCAAAAGGUCUCUAUUUUAUUGUUUAUUUAAUAAAUUCUCACCAAGUGAGUAUAAUAAAUGGACACAAAGCACCAUGUCCCUUUCACCCGCACCUUGACUCUUUACAUGCACUUGUUAAUGUAUAUUGUAGAUUCAGUUGUUUUCAUCAAUUCAUUGGGGACCACCUAUUAUUUAGUAAUAUUUUUAUUUUAAAUGAAAAAUUUUUUUUUUUUUAAUUUGUCUCUGGGUGUUGUUGUUUUGAUAUUUUUGUUGACAAUAUGACAAAACUGUCAUGGAAGACCUGUCUGAAAUGAAUGUUUUGUAGUCCUUCAUUUUUGCUGAUUAAUUUUUCUUCUGAGUAACUGUAGGAUAAGCUACAUUGACCUGUGGUUCUGUGAACAAUGUACUAAAUAGACUUGAAAUAAUGUUGUACAAUGAUAUUGGUAGUAAGACAGAUUUGUACUGAACCAUGGGUCAUUGUCUUGCAUGUGCUUGAAUGCGGUGGUUUGGAUGAAUUAUUAUAGUUUUUUAAUGUUUGAAGCUAUCUCUAUCUACUGAAAUCAUACUAAGUAUUGCUGGUAAAAUCAUCGCCUGGCCAUAACUGUUCCUAAAAUAUUGCAAUCUUUUCAAUAUCCAUGACAACCCAAAACAAGUUUUGUAGGUUGUCCCUGAAAACAUCAUUCCCAGUGGGGGUUCAGUGGAUAUAGAUGGGCUGUUUUGUAAAGGAGUAAAAUACAAUUGUCCCUCCAUCAGUUUAACAAGGCUAAGCCUAUUUCCAAUAUUACUUGGAGGCCAGUAGACAGUUUCGCAGCCUUGACCGCAUGUUGCCAUAGUAAUAAUUUAGUUAACUAAAGAACCCAUUUCUGUGAACUUGAUUUGACCCAACACAUGGACAUUCUUGAGUGCCUAGCUGGUCUGUCAAUCAUAUACAAUGUCCUUGGUGGGUCCAAAAACUAGUAUCCAUUACUUUAUUACUCUGUCUAUUUAGCAGUGCAAUAAAUAUCGUAACCUUGACCCAAGCAUGUACACCCCCCCUCCACCUGCUACUCUUACUGAUUUAAACCCUAUCAUCUCCAUGGCGAUGUUCUUUAAUGUUCACUCUGCAGGUAUUCAAGUAUCUAUUGCUUCUCAGGCCCACUUUCCCUGGUAAUUUAAAAAAAAAACAUAAUGUAUAGUUUCACUAACCAGAUAUUUUUGAGUUUACAAUUCAAGAAAUAUUAAAAUACUGUUGUUUUUUUUGUUAUGUACUGUCCAUUGCAGAGAUGGGUGGAUUUCAAGUCAUUCAUAAAUCACAACAAUCUGUGUGAUCAGUGUUGAUUUCAAUUUAGAAUGUUUUUAUUUUGAAAAUUAGCUGUACACUGGUGUUUAUACAUAUCUGGUUUCUAUUUCAUUCUUUGCUUUGUUACAUUCAACCCAGUGCCAACUUGGUAUCUCGAUCUGUGUUUAUUUCAAAUAAAAAUGCAAUAUCAAUACAGUAAA
Saccoglossus kowalevskii is the source of this 3042-nucleotide long non-coding RNA. The record is from RefSeq and is a predicted model, not a curated record. NCBI's taxonomy places the organism in Eukaryota, Metazoa, Hemichordata, Enteropneusta, Harrimaniidae.